This is a long non-coding RNA of Centrocercus urophasianus (Greater sage-grouse), 489 nucleotides long. RefSeq lists it as uncharacterized. The transcript has 3 exons. The record is from RefSeq and is a predicted model, not a curated record. NCBI's taxonomy places the organism in Eukaryota, Metazoa, Chordata, Aves, Galliformes, Phasianidae.
GGGAGUGGUCGGCGCCUUUCCCGCGGGGUGGGCAGCGGCGGGGCUGAGCUCUGCACCCUCACUGAGGCGGCGAGCCUGGCGGCGGUGAGCUCUUUCCAGCGCUCCGAGGAGACGGCGCGACGCUUCGCCUUCACGGCCCUUCGAGUGAUGGCGGUGACGGUCGCUCCCGCUCGGCCGCGAUGGCGGAGCGCGCCCGGCCGGCCCCGGAAGUGAAGCGGUGACGGAGGGUCCCUCUGGCGGAGCUCGGCGGAACCGCUGGGGCCGGGAAGGCGCUGAGGCGUCAGCAGAAAAAUUCUGUCCGUCUGGGUGUAGCUGUUCUUGGCACAGGAAGUUCUUGGCACAUCACUCAUCUAACUACUAUGAGCAAAAGGAUUACUUUGUUCUCUGCAUAAAUGUGAUCUCCUACAGGGAAAAGUUUGUCACGAGUGGAGAAAAUAAGCAGCAGAAUUUCCUGUUGGGAGCUGCUCUGUCAUGAGCUGCUUUGUCAUC